ACUCCUACGGGAGGCAGCAGUGGGGAAUAUUGGACAAUGGGCGCAAGCCUGAUCCAGCCAUGCCGCGUGAGUGAUGAAGGCCCUAGGGUUGUAAAGCUCUUUCACCGGUGAAGAUAAUGACGGUAACCGGAGAAGAAGCCCCGGCUAACUUCGUGCCAGCAGCCGCGGUAAUACGAAGGGGGCUAGCGUUGUUCGGAUUUACUGGGCGUAAAGCGCACGUAGGCGGACUAUUAAGUCAGGGGUGAAAUCCCGGGGCUCAACCCCGGAACUGCCUUUGAUACUGGUAGUCUUGAGUUCGAGAGAGGUGAGUGGAAUUCCGAGUGUAGAGGUGAAAUUCGUAGAUAUUCGGAGGAACACCAGUGGCGAAGGCGGCUCACUGGCUCGAUACUGACGCUGAGGUGCGAAAGCGUGGGGGGCAAACAGGAUUAGAUACCCCAGUAGUCCCAUG
Molecule: ribosomal RNA, 448 nt
Filed under: uncultured organism
Description: partial 16S ribosomal RNA
Rfam family: Bacterial small subunit ribosomal RNA
Source: RNAcentral